RNAcentral lists this ribosomal RNA (468 nucleotides) under uncultured bacterium. RNAcentral's name for it is "partial 16S ribosomal RNA". It matches the Rfam family "Bacterial small subunit ribosomal RNA", at positions 28 to 507 of the family's 1533-position model. The record is from RNAcentral.
GACGAACGCUGGCGGCGUGCUUAACACAUGCAAGUCGAACGGAAAGGCCCUGCUUUUGUGGGGUGCUCGAGUGGCGAACGGGUGAGUAACACGUGAGUAACCUGCCCUUGACUUUGGGAUAACUUCAGGAAACUGGGGCUAAUACCGGAUAGGAGCUCCUGAUGCAUGGUGGGGGUUGGAAAGUUUCGGCGGUUGGGGAUGGACUCGCGGCUUACCAGCUUGUUGGUGGGGUAGUGGCUUACCAAGGCUUUGACGGCUAGCCGGCCUGAGAGGGUGACCGGCCACAUUGGGACUGAGAUACGGACCAGACUCCUAUGGGGGACAGCAGUGGGGAAUAUUGCACAAUGGGCGGAAGCCUGAUGCAGCAACGCCGCGUGCGGGAUGACGGCCUUCGGGUUGUAAACCGCUUUCGCCUGUGACGAAGCGUGAGUGACGGUAAUGGGUAAAGAAGCACCGGCUAACUACGUG